This is a non-coding RNA of Pelobates cultripes (western spadefoot toad), 201 nucleotides long. The record is from the annotation of a GenBank genome assembly. NCBI's taxonomy places the organism in Eukaryota, Metazoa, Chordata, Amphibia, Anura, Pelobatidae.
CCAGCCUCUAGUGGCUGUCUCACGGACAGCCGCUAGAGGAGCACACUGAACGUCCAUAGGAAAGCAUUGAGUAAUGCUUUCCUAUGGGCGGUUUGAAUGCGUGCGCGGUCGCAUUCAGAGCUGAGAGGCUGAGGGAUCCCCAGCGCCAAGGGAGUCCGGCGCUGGAGAAAGGUAAGUGCUGAAGACACACACACACUUACA